AAAAUAGUAUUUAUUAAUGAGAAAUUGUAGAUGGCGUUUCACACAGACACCCUAUGCAAGUUUUAUUAGACCUCCAAUAGUCUCGUUCGUGCCGGUUGACGGCCAUCUUUGUUGGCUGGCGCAGGAUGACUUCAGGCAUGCUGAUGUAAGAUAGAAAUAAGUCGUAUAUCAUUAGGCUGUCCUUUUUGGCUGGCCAUACACUGAUCAAAAUUCAGCUGAUUGAAAAGGGACCAGCAGAAUUUCGAUCAAUGUGUGGCAGUCCCUGCUAAUUAACUUUUGAUCAACCAAAGAGAGACUCCAUGGGAGGGAGAGAAUCUGACCAAAAGGCCAUGUGCCGCCCUCCUCAAGACUUUCAGGGCAAAUCUAAGGACCUACACCCUACUAGUCAGGCUAAGUGCCAUGACUGUGUACAUGCAAAAAAAAAAAAAAAAGACAGACACACGUAGAAUGGAA
Molecule: long non-coding RNA, 453 nt
Organism: Rana temporaria (common frog)
Lineage: Eukaryota; Metazoa; Chordata; Amphibia; Anura; Ranidae
Exons: 2
Source: RefSeq, a predicted model, not a curated record